CCUACGGGAGGCAGCAGUGAGGAAUAUUGGUCAAUGGUCGAAAGCCUGAACCAGCGACGCCGCGUGAGGGAAGAAGUAAUUCGGUAUGUUAAGCUCUUUUAGCCGGGAAGAAAAUGCGGGUACGUGUGCACGAAGGCCCGGCCAACUACGUGCCAGCAGGCGCGGCAAUAAGGUGGGGGCAAGGGUUAUCCGGAUUUACUGGGUGUUAAGGGGGUGUAGACGGUGCGCCAAGUCUGGAGGGAAAUGCCGCAGGUUAACUGCGGAACUGCUGUGGAAACUGGCGAACUGGAGUGCGGGAGGGGUAAGCGGAAUGCGUGGUGUAGCGGUGAAAUGCAUAGAUAUCACGAGGAACACCGAUGGCGAAGGCAGCUUACCGGCUCGAAACUGACGCUGAGGCACGAAAGCGUGGGUAUCGAACAGGAUUAGAUACCCGUGUAGUC
Molecule: ribosomal RNA, 440 nt
Filed under: uncultured bacterium
Lineage: Bacteria
Description: partial 16S ribosomal RNA
Rfam family: Bacterial small subunit ribosomal RNA
Source: RNAcentral